AUGCUUGCCCGUUCUGCUGAGGAUGGCACCACGCCCCAGUUUCCCACUAGGAAGAAGACUGACCCGAGACACUCCUGGACAGUGAUCCUGAUGUCUCUUCUGUGCAGAGCAUUCAACUGUAAGAUAACAUUUGGGCU
This is a long non-coding RNA of Phascolarctos cinereus (koala), 137 nucleotides long. NCBI's taxonomy places the organism in Eukaryota, Metazoa, Chordata, Mammalia, Diprotodontia, Phascolarctidae. The record is from Ensembl.